This 411-nucleotide ribosomal RNA is filed under the name uncultured Sphingomonas sp. RNAcentral's name for it is "bacterial SSU rRNA". It matches the Rfam family "Bacterial small subunit ribosomal RNA", at positions 971 to 1382 of the family's 1533-position model. The record is from RNAcentral. Lineage: Bacteria; Pseudomonadati; Pseudomonadota; Alphaproteobacteria; Sphingomonadales; Sphingomonadaceae.
UUACCAGCGUUUGACAUGGUAGGACGACUGGCAGAGAUGCCUUUCUUCCCUUCGGGGACCUACACACAGGUGCUGCAUGGCUGUCGUCAGCUCGUGUCGUGAGAUGUUGGGUUAAGUCCCGCAACGAGCGCAACCCUCGACUUUAGUUACCAUCAUUAAGUUGGGUACUUUAAAGUAACCGCCGGUGAUAAGCCGGAGGAAGGUGGGGAUGACGUCAAGUCCUCAUGGCCCUUACGCGCUGGGCUACACACGUGCUACAAUGGCAAGUACAGUGGGCAGCAACCCCGCGAGGGUGAGCUAAUCUCCAAAACUUGUCUCAGUUCGGAUUGUUCUCUGCAACUCGAGAGCAUGAAGGCGGAAUCGCUAGUAAUCGCGGAUCAGCAUGCCGCGGUGAAUACGUUCCCAGGCCUU